AGUUUGAUCCUGGCUCAGAGUGAACGCUGGCGGUAGGCCUAACACAUGCAAGUCGAACGGCAGCACAGAGGAGCUUGCUCCUUGGGUGGCGAGUGGCGGACGGGUGAGGAAUACAUCGGAAUCUACUCUGUCGUGGGGGAUAACGUAGGGAAACUUACGCUAAUACCGCAUACGACCUACGGGUGAAAGCAGGGGAUCUUCGGACCUUGCGCGAUUGAAUGAGCCGAUGUCGGAUUAGCUAGUUGGCGGGGUAAAGGCCCACCAAGGCGACGAUCCGUAGCUGGUCUGAGAGGAUGAUCAGCCACACUGGAACUGAGACACGGUCCAGACUCCUACGGGAGGCAGCAGUGGGGAAUAUUGGACAAUGGGCGCAAGCCUGAUCCAGCCAUACCGCGUGGGUGAAGAAGGCCUUCGGGUUGUAAAGCCCUUUUGUUGGGAAAGAAAUCCAGCUGGCUAAUACCCGGUUGGGAUGACGGUACCCAAAGAAUAAGCACCGGCUAACUUCGUGCCAGCAGCCGCGGUAA
This 524-nucleotide ribosomal RNA is filed under the name uncultured bacterium. RNAcentral describes it as "bacterial SSU rRNA". It matches the Rfam family "Bacterial small subunit ribosomal RNA", at positions 10 to 523 of the family's 1533-position model. The record is from RNAcentral.